RNAcentral lists this ribosomal RNA (564 nucleotides) under bacterium 01-L049659-122-016-A01. RNAcentral describes it as "bacterial SSU rRNA". It matches the Rfam family "Bacterial small subunit ribosomal RNA", at positions 57 to 605 of the family's 1533-position model. The record is from RNAcentral.
GCAGUCGAGCGGACAGAAGGGAGCUUGCUCCCGGAUGUUAGCGGCGGACGGGUGAGUAACACGUGGGUAACCUGCCUGUAAGACUGGGAUAACUCCGGGAAACCGGAGCUAAUACCGGAUAGUUCCUUGAACCGCAUGGUUCAAGGAUGAAAGACGGUUUCGGCUGUCACUUACAGAUGGACCCGCGGCGCAUUAGCUAGUUGGUGGGGUAAUGGCUCACCAAGGCGACGAUGCGUAGCCGACCUGAGAGGGUGAUCGGCCACACUGGGACUGAGACACGGCCCAGACUCCUACGGGAGGCAGCAGUAGGGAAUCUUCCGCAAUGGACGAAAGUCUGACGGAGCAACGCCGCGUGAGUGAUGAAGGUUUUCGGAUCGUAAAGCUCUGUUGUUAGGGAAGAACAAGUGCGAGAGUAACUGCUCGCACCUUGACGGUACCUAACCAGAAAGCCACGGCUAACUACGUGCCAACAGCCGCGGUAAUACGUAGGUGGCAAGCGUUGUCCGGAAUUAUUGGGCGUAAAGGGCUCGCAGGCGGUUUCUUAAGUCUGGAUGUGAAAGCCCC